This 564-nucleotide long non-coding RNA is filed under the name Elaeis guineensis (African oil palm). Its description in RNAcentral is "long non-coding RNA (EGUI_LNC034135)". The record is from RNAcentral. Lineage: Eukaryota; Viridiplantae; Streptophyta; Magnoliopsida; Arecales; Arecaceae.
GUCAAUUGUUGGCUGACACAUUAUGUAAUUUCAAAGCCUAUUCUUAUACUUAUAAAAUUUUAUUAUUAAUAAAAAGAUAUUUUUAUUUUCAAUCAUAUUUAUGUGUUAAUGAUUUAUCCUCAAAAUUAAUAAAAAUAAUUUUGUAUAUUCUCAAAGUGUUGAGAAUUUGAGACAUACAUUAUUAGUAAUAAGUUUCUAAAUACUCCUAAUCGUAAGAUCGUCAUAGAGGAUAAUGAUUAAUCCACUUAAGAUCGGUAUAUGGAUCACCUCCCUCAUAGGCAGACGAGUCUUGAGUCUGCGAUGUGGUGAUAUUAGGGUGACAGUGCAGGUGGUUGAUAGAGAACAACUUAUACUAAGCAUGAUCAAUACGAAAAAUCACAUAGAUAUCUACUCAUUCAUCAGUGAUCUUCUCGAUGUUGCAGUGGUAUGUGAUUCUUUGACCUUCGAUGUCAUCGGUUAUUCGCAGCGAGGCUACUGAGUUUGAUUGCACAUUCUCUUAUUCUUUAACCAUUCAAUUCUUUACUGUGUAUGUUGGCUACAGUAGGUUCAGGUUCACUGUUAGAG